RNAcentral lists this small nuclear RNA (23 nucleotides) under Arabidopsis thaliana (thale cress). Its description in RNAcentral is "snRNA_04072". Lineage: Eukaryota; Viridiplantae; Streptophyta; Magnoliopsida; Brassicales; Brassicaceae. The record is from RNAcentral.
AUUUAUUAACAACUGAUGCAACU